AAGGUUAAGAUAUUGUGAAUAUGUAAGAUAAGUAUUCUAAAGGUUAAGAAAAGGUGCUGAAUUCAGCACCUAGUUCCAUUUGUGAGAUGAUGAAAUAAACAUCAGCUUGGUUCCAA
This is a long non-coding RNA of Suncus etruscus (white-toothed pygmy shrew), 116 nucleotides long. RefSeq lists it as uncharacterized. The transcript is spliced from 2 exons. The record is from RefSeq and is a predicted model, not a curated record. Lineage: Eukaryota; Metazoa; Chordata; Mammalia; Eulipotyphla; Soricidae.